GGACUACCCGGGUUUCUAAUCCUGUUUGCUCCCCACGCUUUCGCGUCUCAGCGUCAGUAACGUCCCAGUGAGCUGCCUUCGCCAUUGGUGUUCCUCCUGAUAUCUGCGCAUUUCACCGCUACACCAGGAAUUCCACUCACCUCUUCCGUACUCUAGCUCGACAGUUUCCACCGGCAUUUCAGGGUUGAGCCCUGAACUUUCACAGCAGACUUAUCGAGCCGCCUACACGCGCUUUACGCCCAAUGAUUCCGGACAACGCUUGCCCCCUACGUAUUACCGCGGCUGCUGGCAC
Molecule: ribosomal RNA, 292 nt
Filed under: uncultured bacterium
Lineage: Bacteria
Description: partial 16S ribosomal RNA
Source: RNAcentral